Molecule: ribosomal RNA, 305 nt
Filed under: uncultured bacterium
Lineage: Bacteria
Description: bacterial SSU rRNA
Rfam family: Bacterial small subunit ribosomal RNA
Source: RNAcentral
UGCCUACGGGAGGCAGCAGUCGGGAAUAUUGCGCAAUGGAGGAAACUCUGACGCAGUGACGCCGCGUAUAGGAAGAAGGUUUUCGGAUUGUAAACUAUUGUCGUUAGGGAAGAUAAAAGACAGUACCUAAGGAGGAAGCUCCGGCUAACUACGUGCCAGCAGCCGCGGUAAUACGUAGGGAGCAAGCGUUAUCCGGAUUUACUGGGUGUAAAGGGAGCGCAGGCGGCGUGGCAAGUCAGAUGUGAAAACCCGGGGCCCAACCCCGGGAGUGCAUUUGAAACUGCCAUGCUGGAGUGCCGGAGAGG